RNAcentral lists this long non-coding RNA (1785 nucleotides) under Linum usitatissimum (flax). RNAcentral describes it as "long non-coding RNA (LUSI_LNC006350)". The record is from RNAcentral. Lineage: Eukaryota; Viridiplantae; Streptophyta; Magnoliopsida; Malpighiales; Linaceae.
CUGAUAUUUUCCAGAGUACAAUCAAAGGGUGUGCUUUCUGAUAACAGCAAUAUAGUAGUCGAUAUCCAUGACUUUAGGCUUCUCACAAAGGAGAACCGAACAAUGUUGCUAGAAAGUAUGAAUCAUCAUCAAUUUAUCACAAAUGUCAAAGCUUUGUUAUAAAUGGGGAGAUUGAGUUCUUCCUCCCCCAAACUACAACUCAAAAGUAUCCAAUUCCAAACCGAAAGGGGCUUACAAAAUGAGCGAAAUGGCUCGAAGCAUGUUAGGACGAAAUCGGCAGAGAUGAUGUCUAUCUAUGGCAACUAGACAAUCUGGAUCAAAAGAUCCAUUAGGGAGAAAAUUUACAACAAACUAGACAAUGCUGUUAAACUUUCAUUUCUAUACUACAAACGGACCAAACGGCUUCAUUCCCUACCACUCUCCGCAAUCUCAAACUAUGAUCAACCCCCCACAAAGCUUCGGCAAUACCUACCUUCACGUACGUACCAGCUCUGUAGCUUGAUGAUAGUUGGUUGAGAUUGCGAUCUCCAUGGACACAUGAUCAAUCUCCACACCAUUGACUCCGAACCUGAAUGAAGAAGGUUGAAGCAGAAAGCAGGCAGCAUUAGAACUAGCAACAUUGGUAUCCCAACUAAAGUCCUCGAUGUGGACGUAGGGAUGAUCAAAUCCAACAAAAGUUCAUGAAUGCAAGUGUAUAAGUUGAUUAAAGACGAGAUUCUGCAUCAACAACAUUGGAAAUCAAUGAAGUAUAUAAUCUGGAAGUAGGGAUCAAAUCCGGCAGAGUUCAUGAAUGCAAGUGUAAGAAGGUGAUCAAAGACGAGACUUUUAACACAGUAAUCAGGAUCGUCUAAUGCAUAUUCAAUACUCCAAGCCACACAAGGGAAAGCAAGAAUCAAAUCACCAGCACGGAGACGAAAACAUGGUAUUCGAAUGCCAAACGGACUAAAAUCCUUUGUUGUGAGUACCACCAUUGUGGAAAACCAACAAUGGUAAUACAAAUCGACAAAAAUCAGAUCGUCAACACAGACCAAACAACUUGGUUCUUGCCUUUUGUUGUGAUUACACAUUCACCACCUCUAAUCAAUAGAAUAGUAGGCUGUGUAAAUCAAAAAACACUUAUCAGCAGUAGCAACCGAUUUGGCCAGCUGAAGAAUUCCAACAGAUCCACAGAGAUUUGCCUAUUCUAUGAACAAUGCUGUAAAGUGGGUCUCAACACUAAUCAACACAAAGGGUGGAGAAACCAAUCGAAUCUGAUAAAGGAAUCAUCUUCAAGCAAGCAUCAAGGAAGACACACAGAAGCAAGAAUCAAAUCACCAACACAGAGACGAAAAUGUGGGUGUUCAAGUGCCCAAACACACAUCAACUGCAAAAUUUUCAAAAAUUCACAGGGAAUCGGCUCUCUUCACAACGAUUAUGCAAAACCAAGUGGGUCAGUACUAAUCAACAAGGAACAUCGCAGAAAGUAAAAGGAAUGUUCUUUCACCUCCCGGAUAGUGAGGGAAGAAGCAGGAAACCACCAGCCGGAUAUCAUGACCGGAAACAUCACCAUCGUCGUCGAAAAACUGAAAAACCCUAAACCCCAACAGAGAUCGAGAGGAAAAGGAAGGAAGCGGAUGUGGAAGUGAAACAAUGGGGGAUCUUUAUUUAAAAAUAAAAAUGGGUUUCAGCUGCACAGUGCCCAAGGUUGGAUUUUUUGGACGCUGCUUUUCAAGUUCUUCUUUCUUUCUGUUUCCCGCUGUCCGUUUCUUUCAUUGAAUUGGUUUGAAAACUGCGGCAGCAAGCCAU